This is an RNA transcript of Daphnia pulicaria, 818 nucleotides long. RefSeq lists it as uncharacterized. The transcript is spliced from 5 exons. The record is from RefSeq and is a predicted model, not a curated record. NCBI's taxonomy places the organism in Eukaryota, Metazoa, Arthropoda, Branchiopoda, Diplostraca, Daphniidae.
UGAUGUGGAACAAUAAGUCUUCGUUACGUUACUUAUGACCGCCGCCAUUUUUUUGUAGCACUGAUUCUGAUUGUGAUGUUGUUUAUUGAAAGCUGAUCAUGUGGCCUACAUUUUGCCAAGAUGUCGUCUCUUUUUCCUGUACGUACCGGCUGUACGUUUUGUAAGAAACACUUCAGAACAAAUCAGAACUUCAGUUGUCUACCUUGGAAAAGCUUGCUAGCUGUAGGAUCCUUUGCAACAUAUAUUCCAAAGGAUUGUUCUGGUAAAGUCUGAGCUUUGUCGUUGCUGCCCAAUUAUGGAUUUGGUGCAGCCAGCUGGUAAAGGGUGUUCCUCUUGCUACCUGUACUCUUGUGUGUUUCGUCAAAUGAAGAAACAUGAACAACUGAAGUUUAUCGUGUAUGUUCGCGUAGUUGCUGUCCGCUGUGGUACUUUGUUGCAGCCUAUGCUGGUGAUAGAUCUUUCUGCAUCAAAUUCAAUUGGCCGUGCUGUUGUCGUGUAACCGUUAAAUGUUAAGAAGGAAAAAAAAAUAUGGGGAUAGUUAUGUCUAGCAAGUAAUAAACAUGUUUUCGGGAUUGGGAAAGGAAAGUGGAAGAUGUUGGAGAGGGGGAUUCAAGUUUGGAUAAAAACAGUUAAUUUUAAGUUUUAACCCUACAAACAUAUCCCUACCAACUAAUCUCCAAACCCCACAAACUUAUACCUUCCAACUCUUCACACACAAACACACCUACCAACCCUAAAUUUAUAUCAUAUCCAAAUUAACCAAUGUUAAACCCUAACAAUGUGAUGUCUGUAAUAAAUAAAACUUUUUAUACAUAAAA